RNAcentral lists this ribosomal RNA (672 nucleotides) under Bacillus atrophaeus. RNAcentral's name for it is "bacterial SSU rRNA". It matches the Rfam family "Bacterial small subunit ribosomal RNA", at positions 52 to 708 of the family's 1533-position model. The record is from RNAcentral. Lineage: Bacteria; Bacillati; Bacillota; Bacilli; Caryophanales; Bacillaceae.
UAAUGCAGUCGAGCGGACAGAUGGGAGCUUGCUCCCUGAUGUUAGCGGCGGACGGGUGAGUAACACGUGGGUAACCUGCCUGUAAGACUGGGAUAACUCCGGGAAACCGGGGCUAAUACCGGAUGCUUGUUUGAACCGCAUGGUUCAAACAUAAAAGGUGGCUUCGGCUACCACUUACAGAUGGACCCGCGGCGCAUUAGCUAGUUGGUGAGGUAACGGCUCACCAAGGCGACGAUGCGUAGCCGACCUGAGAGGGUGAUCGGCCACACUGGGACUGAGACACGGCCCAGACUCCUACGGGAGGCAGCAGUAGGGAAUCUUCCGCAAUGGACGAAAGUCUGACGGAGCAACGCCGCGUGAGUGAUGAAGGUUUUCGGAUCGUAAAGCUCUGUUGUUAGGGAAGAACAAGUGCCGUUCAAAUAGGGCGGCACCUUGACGGUACCUAACCAGAAAGCCACGGCUAACUACGUGCCAGCAGCCGCGGUAAUACGUAGGUGGCAAGCGUUGUCCGGAAUUAUUGGGCGUAAAGGGCUCGCAGGCGGUUUCUUAAGUCUGAUGUGAAAGCCCCCGGCUCAACCGGGGAGGGUCAUUGGAAACUGGGGAACUUGAGUGCAGAAGAGGAGAGUGGAAUUCCACGUGUAGCGGUGAAAUGCGUAGAGAUGUGGAGGAACA